Molecule: small RNA, 124 nt
Filed under: Marmota monax (woodchuck)
Lineage: Eukaryota; Metazoa; Chordata; Mammalia; Rodentia; Sciuridae
Source: RNAcentral
GCUGGGCAUGGUGGUGCAUGCCUGUUAUCCCAGUGGCUCAGGAGGCUGAGGCAGGACAAUCAUGAGUUCAAUGUCAGCCUCAGCAAAAUGAGGCACUAAGCAACUCAGAGAGACCCUGUCUCCA